Non-coding RNA from Vicia faba (fava bean), 237 nucleotides. Lineage: Eukaryota; Viridiplantae; Streptophyta; Magnoliopsida; Fabales; Fabaceae. The record is from the annotation of a GenBank genome assembly.
AUGGCUUCCCUUGAUGAUUCUCCACCUUAUUAUCUCCAUUCAUUAGACCAACUAGGCCAAAUACUUGUCAAACAACCUCUUAAUAGCGAUAACUAUGCCACUUGGAACCGAGCCAUUACCAUGACACUUGAAGCCAAAAACAAACUUGGUUUUAUUGAUGACAUCCUUCUUAAACCUGAACCUAACAAUCCAAAUUUCUCUCAUUGGAUCCGUUCUAAUAGUAUGGUCCAAUCUUGA